RNAcentral lists this ribosomal RNA (484 nucleotides) under uncultured bacterium. Its description in RNAcentral is "partial 16S ribosomal RNA". It matches the Rfam family "Bacterial small subunit ribosomal RNA", at positions 30 to 507 of the family's 1533-position model. The record is from RNAcentral.
AUUGAACGCUGGCGGCAGGCCUAACACAUGCAAGUCGAGCGGAUGAAGGGAGCUUGCUCCUGGAUUCAGCGGCGGACGGGUGAGUAAUGCCUAGGAAUCUGCCUGGUAGUGGGGGAUAACGUCCGGAAACGGGCGCUAAUACCGCAUACGUCCUGAGGGAGAAAGUGGGGGAUCUUCGGACCUCACGCUAUCAGAUGAGCCUAGGUCGGACUAGCUAGUUGGUGGGGUAAAGGCCUACCGAGGCGGCGAUCCGUAACUGGUCUGAGAGGAAGAUCAGUCACCAUAGAACUGAAGCACGGUCCCGACUCCUACGGGAGGGCGCAGUGGGGAAUAUUGGGCAAUGGGGGGAAGCCUGGUCCAAGCGUGGCGCGUGUGUGGAAGAGGCCUUCCGAUUGGAAAGCCCUUUUAGGUGGGGGGAAGGGCAGUAAGUUAAUACCUUGCUUUUUUGACGGUACCAACAGAAUAAGCACCGGCUAACUUCGUG